RNAcentral lists this ribosomal RNA (482 nucleotides) under uncultured bacterium. Its description in RNAcentral is "partial 16S ribosomal RNA". It matches the Rfam family "Bacterial small subunit ribosomal RNA", at positions 30 to 507 of the family's 1533-position model. The record is from RNAcentral.
AUUGAACGCUGGUGGCAUGCCUUACACAUGCAAGUCGAACGGUAACGGGCCUUCGGGUGCCGACGAGUGGCGAACGGGUGUGUAAUACAUCGGAACGUGCCCGAUCUUGGGGGAUAACGAGGCGAAAGCUUUGCUAAUACCGCAUACGAUCUACGGAUGAAAGCAGGGGACCGCACGGCCUUGCUCGUACGGAUCGGCCGAUGGCAGAUUAGGUAGUUGGUUGGAUAAAAGCUUACCAAGCCGACGAUCUGUAGCUGGUAUGAGAGGAUGAUCAGCCACACUGGGACUGAGACACGGCCCAGAAGACUACGGGAGGAAGCAGUGGGGAAGUUUGGACAAUGGGGGCAAGCCUGAUACAGCAAUGCCGAGUGCAGGAUGAAGGCCUUCGGGUUGUAAACUGCUUUUGUACGGAACGAAAAGCCUUCUUUUAAUACAGGAGGGUCAUGACGGUACCGUAAGAAUAAGCACCGGCUAACUACGUG